AGAGAAAGAAGAGAUCAGUAUCGUCGCUUCCCCGAAUCGUUCUCCUCCGGCGUGAAUUUCGCAAAGGUUGUGCAUUUUUGGCAAGAAUGGCGGAGCAGGAACUGAACCAAUUGAGAGGGGUAGCAACGGCAGCAGUAGAUGCCUUCACUGACUUUAGGCACGCUCAGAUUUAGGAGUACAUUGAAGGAGAGAAUAAUUUCCAGAAUGUUGAGUUUGCCAUCAACAAACUGACAACCAUCCUUAAUAUCACCAAUCCUAAUCAUUAUAACGGACAGAUUCCUCCAGAGAAUUUGAACCAAGAUGAAUUGAACGAAGUGAGAGUUGUAGCAACAAAUGCACUCAAUUUUUUCAGAACUAGGAUUCCAUUAAUUUUAAACUCCAUCAAUGCGUUGAAUAAUAAUAUGCAUGACCUUCAGGCUGCCAUCAUCCUACUCAAUCUAAUCAACGCUGCUAUUACCAAUCCGGCUCUAAUUGCCCCGCCGCCGCCGCCUAAUGAUGUGUAGCAGCAGCUGAAAAUAGGAGGAUUACCACGAGAUGAUGGAGUCUAUCUUUAUUUAUUUUUGUUAGUAUAAAAAAAACAUUUUGGGCUAGCUUUUGUUUAUUUAUUUGUUUGCUUGCUUGAUGUGGACCUGGUACGGUUAAAUAAUGAAAAUAGAUCGAAGCGUUUAUUUAUUUUAUCCAUCUACUAAUGUAAUCUAGUAUACUAAUUUACAGGAGGAGGAUUUUAUAA
This is a long non-coding RNA of Camelina sativa (false flax), 730 nucleotides long. RefSeq lists it as uncharacterized. NCBI's taxonomy places the organism in Eukaryota, Viridiplantae, Streptophyta, Magnoliopsida, Brassicales, Brassicaceae. The record is from RefSeq and is a predicted model, not a curated record.